AGACGUCUACAUUAGAUACCCGCGUAGUCCCAGCCGUAAACUAUGCGCGUUAGGUGUAUUGGUGACCACGAGUUACCGAGGUGCCGAAGGGAAACCGUGAAACGUGCCGCCUGGGAAGUACGGUCGCAAGGCUGAAACUUAAAGGAAUUGGCGGGGAGCACCACAACAGGUGGAGCCUGCGGUUUAAUUGGACUCAACGCCGGGAAGCUCACCGGAUAGGACAGCAGAAUGAUUGCCGGGCUGAAGACCCUGCAUGACUAGCUG
Molecule: ribosomal RNA, 264 nt
Filed under: uncultured archaeon
Lineage: Archaea
Description: partial 16S ribosomal RNA
Rfam family: Archaeal small subunit ribosomal RNA
Source: RNAcentral